This 491-nucleotide ribosomal RNA is filed under the name uncultured bacterium. RNAcentral's name for it is "partial 16S ribosomal RNA". It matches the Rfam family "Bacterial small subunit ribosomal RNA", at positions 29 to 507 of the family's 1533-position model. The record is from RNAcentral.
GUGAACGCUGGCGGUAGGCCUAACACAUGCAAGUCGAACGGCAGCACCGUAAGAGCUUGCUCUUACGGGUGGCGAGUGGCGGACGGGUGAGGAAUACAUCGGAAUCUACUUUUUCAUGGGGGAUAACGUAGGGAAACUUACGCUAAUACCGCAUACGACCUACGGGUGAAAGCAGGGGAUCUUCGGACCUUGCGCGAUUGAAUGAGCCGAUGUCGGAUUAGCUAGUUGGCGGGGUAAAGGCCCACCAAGGCGACGAUCCGUAGCUGGUCUGAGAGGAUGAUCAGCCACACUGGAACUGAGACACGGUCCAGACUCCUACGGGAGGCAGCAGUGGGGAAUAUUGGACAAUGGGCGCAAGCCUGAUCCAGCCAUACCGCGUGGGUGAAGAAGGCCUUCGGGUUGUAAAGCCCUUUUGUUGGGAAAGAAAAGCAGCAGGUUAAUACCCCGCUGUUCUGACGGUACCCAAAGAAUAAGCACCGGCUAACUUCGUG